This 497-nucleotide ribosomal RNA is filed under the name uncultured bacterium. RNAcentral describes it as "partial 16S ribosomal RNA". It matches the Rfam family "Bacterial small subunit ribosomal RNA", at positions 899 to 1397 of the family's 1533-position model. The record is from RNAcentral.
ACUCAAAUGAAUUGACGGGGGCCCGCACAAGCGGUGGAGCAUGUGGUUUAAUUCGAUGAUACGCGAAGAACCUUACCCGGGCUUGACAUCCUCUAGACAGGCAUAGAGAUAUGCCCUCCUUUAUGGCUAGAGGACAGGUGUUGCAUGGUUGUCGUCAGCUCGUGUUGUGAAAUGUUGGGUUAAGUCCCGCAACGAGCGCAACCCUUACCUUAUGUUGCUACCAGUUCGGCUGGGCACUCUUAAGGUACCGCCGGUGAUAAACCGGAGGAAGGUGAGGAUGACGUCAAAUCAGCAUGGCCCUUACGUCCGGGGCUACACACGUGCUACAAUGGCCGGUACAGAGGGACGCCAAACCGCGAGGUGGAGCAAAUCUCAUAAAGCCGGUCCAAAUUCGGAUUGUAGUCUGCAACUCGACUACAUGAAGCCGGAAUCGCUAGUAAUCGCGAAUCAGCAAUGUCGCGGUGAAUACGUUCCCGGGCCUUGUACACACCGCCCGU